Strongylocentrotus purpuratus (purple sea urchin) is the source of this 99-nucleotide non-coding RNA. The record is from Rfam. NCBI's taxonomy places the organism in Eukaryota, Metazoa, Echinodermata, Echinoidea, Camarodonta, Strongylocentrotidae.
GAGCUAUGAUGAAUUUUAUUCCAAUCAUUCGCAGUUUCCACCAUAAAGACUUCUUAGUCUUAAUGAUGGCUGAAGAUCCUUCCUUGGAUGUCUGAGCUC